GAUGAACGCUGGCGGCGUGCCUAAUACAUGCAAGUCGAGCGAACAGACGAGGAGCUUGCUCCUCUGACGUUAGCGGCGGACGGGUGAGUAACACGUGGAUAACCUACCUAUAAGACUGGGAUAACUUCGGGAAACCGGAGCUAAUACCGGAUAAUAUAUUGAACCGCAUGGUUCAAUAGUGAAAGACGGUUUUGCUGUCACUUAUAGAUGGAUCCGCGCCGCAUUAGCUAGUUGGUAAGGUAACGGCUUACCAAGGCAACGAUGCGUAGCCGACCUGAGAGGGUGAUCGGCCACACUGGAACCUGGACACGGGCCAGACUCCUACGGGAGGCAGCAGUAGGGAAUCUUCCCCAAUGGGCGAAAGCCUGACGGAGCAACGCCGCGUGAGUGAUGAAGGUCUUCGGAUCGUAAAACUCUGUUAUUAGGGAAGAACAAAUGUGUAAGUAACUAUGCACGUCUUGACGGUACCUAAUCAGAAAGCCACGGCUAACUACGUG
Molecule: ribosomal RNA, 497 nt
Filed under: uncultured bacterium
Lineage: Bacteria
Description: partial 16S ribosomal RNA
Rfam family: Bacterial small subunit ribosomal RNA
Source: RNAcentral